AUACGUAGGUGGCAAGCGUUGUCCGGAUUUACUGGGCGUAAAGCGCGCGCAGGCGGUUCCUUAAGUCUGAUGUGAAAGCUCCCGGCUCAACCGGGGAGGGUCAUUGGAAACUGGGGAACUUGAGUGCAGAAGAGGAUAGUGGAAUUCCAAGUGUAGCGGUGAAAUGCGUAGAGAUUUGGAGGAACACCAGUGGCGAAGGCGACUGUCUGGCCUGUAACUGACACUCAGGCGCGAAAGCGUGGGGAGCAAACAGGAUUAGAUACCCUGGUAGCCCACGCCGUAAACGAUGAGUGCUAAGUGUUGGGGGGUUUCCGCCCCUCGGUGCUGCAGCUAACGCAUUAAGUACACCGCCUGGGGAGUACGGUCGCAAGACUGAAACUCAAAGGAAUUGACGGGG
RNAcentral lists this ribosomal RNA (397 nucleotides) under uncultured bacterium. RNAcentral describes it as "partial 16S ribosomal RNA". It matches the Rfam family "Bacterial small subunit ribosomal RNA", at positions 523 to 918 of the family's 1533-position model. The record is from RNAcentral.